CUCUCUGCAACAAGCAAAGGAAUCCACUCAUCUUUCUCCAGCAGCAAGGGAGUCCGCACUUGUCUCAGGGCUCUGUCAAUACAAGGACUUGCAUUUGAUUUAAAACUUUGUUAUUCAUCUGAAAUAUUGUCUUUAUAAAAGCAGAUGACUGUUUUGAAAAAUGGAAUUAUUUUACAGAAGUGAAAUUUCACCGUUUCAAGACGAUCUGAAUACAUCCAGUGAAUUACUUGUGAUUUUCACUCACUUUGGCAAUGUGACCUCAAGCAACUAAGGAAAGGAAUCUUAUAAAGACUAUCUGCUUUCCUGCCAGUUAAAUGGAAUGGUCUCCAUACACCUCCAUCAGUGAGGAGCUUUCUGCUUGACUUUGUCUAUUGGGAGGUGGCUACUGAUAUUGAAACUGAAGCCCAAUGCUGUUAUGAAGGCCUUGAAAGAAUCUUUAAAAUGAGAAUUAGAAAAAUACCCAGUGUCUACACAGAUGGUUACUGCAUGAAAAAGCUUCUAAGAAUGAUUUGCCUCGUAAACGGUAUAAAGACUGCCCCUCCGAGUAAAAAACUAUGUGGAUCAACAGCAAUGUUGAGCCUUCCCCAGCGACUGAACUUUAGAAAAAGCCUUUAUAUUAGCAUGUGAAUAAAUGGUUGCCAACAAAGUAGAAAAAUUCCUUGAAACCCAUGCAUGAUGACAUGCAUGGCCACUUGUAUUUUUUAUUUAAGUUGAAUUAACUUGGAAUGUCACUGAUUUUAGAAAGGUUUUGCUAUUUUCAAUCAAGUGAUUUUCAUAAAACAUUUGUGAUCUGUUGAACGAUGUUCUGGGGAUUUUUUAUGUAAACAGUACUGUUUCAACAGUGAUUGUUCAGCCAAGUUUGAAGCAUCCUCAACCAUGACUAGGUCAUUGAGAAAAUCUCUCUUCAUUCAGAAGUGAGGGUUUUGGACCUCUUGCGUUGCCAGUUUAUUCCUACUCUGGUUUUGCUGGACCUCGAAUUCUACAAAUUGUAAUUUGUAAAAGAUUUUGAUUAAACUGGAGAAACAAACUGCUUUACUUAGAUGUAUAUCAUUAUGCUAUCUGUGGCUCAGUUAAUUGAGUUUUUAAUACUUCAGUUGUUUUGCCAUUUUUCUUUUUGUUACUCUGAAAUAUAACAUGCCGAGUUAAAUGGAUGGUCCUUGGUCAAAGAGCAUUGAAUUUAUAGAACACAAUUUUUUGUCCUUUUUUGUGUGUUCCAAAUGAAUUAGGAGAGUUAAGCCAUUUGGCCCUUCAAAAUGUGCUCUGCUAUUCAAUAAACUAUGGUUGAGAUGUUCCAA
This is a long non-coding RNA of Chiloscyllium plagiosum (whitespotted bambooshark), 1295 nucleotides long. RefSeq lists it as uncharacterized. NCBI's taxonomy places the organism in Eukaryota, Metazoa, Chordata, Chondrichthyes, Orectolobiformes, Hemiscylliidae. The record is from RefSeq and is a predicted model, not a curated record.